This 1468-nucleotide ribosomal RNA is filed under the name metagenome. RNAcentral describes it as "bacterial SSU rRNA". It matches the Rfam family "Bacterial small subunit ribosomal RNA". The record is from RNAcentral.
AGAGUUUGAUCCUGGCUCAGGACGAACGCUGGCGGCGCGCCUAACACAUGCAAGUCGAACGAGCGAGAGAGAGCUUGCUUUCUCGAGCGAGUGGCGAACGGGUGAGUAACGCGUGAGGAACCUGCCUCAAAGAGGGGGACAACAGUUGGAAACGACUGCUAAUACCGCAUAAGCCCACGGGUCGGCAUCGACCAGAGGGAAAAGGAGCAAUCCGCUUUGAGAUGGCCUCGCGUCCGAUUAGCUAGUUGGUGAGGUAACGGCCCACCAAGGCGACGAUCGGUAGCCGGACUGAGAGGUUGAACGGCCACAUUGGGACUGAGACACGGCCCAGACUCCUACGGGAGGCAGCAGUGGGGAAUAUUGCACAAUGGGGGAAACCCUGAUGCAGCGACGCCGCGUGGAGGAAGAAGGUCUUCGGAUUGUAAACUCCUGUUGUUGAGGAAGAUAAUGACGGUACUCAACAAGGAAGUGACGGCUAACUACGUGCCAGCAGCCGCGGUAAAACGUAGGUCACAAGCGUUGUCCGGAAUUACUGGGUGUAAAGGGAGCGCAGGCGGGAAGACAAGUUGGAAGUGAAAUCCAUGGGCUUAACCCAUGAACUGCUUUCAAAACUGUUUUUCUUGAGUAGUGCAGAGGUAGGCGGAAUUCCCGGUGUAGCGGUGGAAUGCGUAGAUAUCGGGAGGAACACCAGUGGCGAAGGCGGCCUACUGGGCACCAACUGACGCUGAGGCUCGAAAGUGUGGGUAGCAAACAGGAUUAGAUACCCUGGUAGUCCACACCGUAAACGAUGAUUACUAGGUGUUGGAGGAUUGACCCCUUCAGUGCCGCAGUUAACACAAUAAGUAAUCCACCUGGGGAGUACGACCGCAAGGUUGAAACUCAAAGGAAUUGACGGGGGCCCGCACAAGCAGUGGAGUAUGUGGUUUAAUUCGACGCAACGCGAAGAACCUUACCAAGUCUUGACAUCCGUUGACCGACAUAGAAAUAUGCUUUUCCUUCGGGACAGCGAGACAGGUGGUGCAUGGUUGUCGUCAGCUCGUGUCGUGAGAUGUUGGGUUAAGUCCCGCAACGAGCGCAACCCUUAUGGUCAGUUACUACGCAAGAGGACUCUGGCCAGACUGCCGGGGAUAACCCGGAGGAAGGUGGGGAUGACGUCAAAUCAUCAUGCCCCUUAUGAUUUGGGCUACACACGUGCUACAAUGGCAGUUACAAAGAGAAGCAAACCUGUGAAGGCGAGCAAACCUCAAAAAGGCUGUCUCAGUUCGGAUUGUAGUCUGCAACUCGACUACAUGAAGCUGGAAUCGCUAGUAAUCGCAGAUCAGCAUGCUGCGGUGAAUACGUUCCCGGGUCUUGUACACACCGCCCGUCACACCAUGGGAGUCGGUAACGCCCGAAGUCAGUGACCCAACCGCAAAGAGGGAGCUGCCGAAGGCAGGAUCGAUAACUGGGGUGAAGUCGUAACAAGGUA